Molecule: non-coding RNA, 4207 nt
Organism: Salvia hispanica
Lineage: Eukaryota; Viridiplantae; Streptophyta; Magnoliopsida; Lamiales; Lamiaceae
Source: RefSeq, a predicted model, not a curated record
AAAAAUGAUUUAGAGAAUGAAGAAAGCCGCCAUCGCUACUGUCCACCUUCACUGAAUCAAAUGUAUAUAUACACAGAUGACAGAACAGAUGUGAUGAUCAUCUUACUCUGACGCCGCCGGCUUCUCUUUCCCCCCUUCAACUAUUCUCUUCAACUCUUCUCUCCGAAUUCCGAGCAUCAUUUCAAAUUUGAAACGGACUUCUCUACGCAGCCAGAUUUUCAAUUAAUUGCUCUGGAACACCUCAAAUUCGAUUUGAGGCAAAACAUUAUUCGCAGAUGGGCGGCUCGAAGAAGAAGAAGAAGCGGAGUGGAGGCGGGGUCCGCCGCGCCCAGUCAAAGGACCAUCAUUCCACUGUAGCCGAUAAUUCUGAAAUUUUAACCGAGGAAGUAACUGCCUUGUGUGCCAUAUUUCAGGAAGAUUGCAUAGUUGCUUCUGAAUCACCUCCUCGUAUUAACAUCAAGCUCAGGCCAUACUCAAAGGAUACAGGAUAUGAGGAUUCUGAUGUUUGUGUCCAGCUCUCUGUGAGAUGUUUACCAGGUUAUCCAUACAAAUGCCCAAAGCUGCAGAUAAUACCCGAGAAAGGCUUAUCAAAAACUGAUGCUGAUAAUCUUUUAUCUCUACUUUAUGAUCAGGCUAAUUCUAAUGCUCGAGAAGGGCGCGUGAUGAUUUACAAUUUAGUGGAAGCUGCACAAGAAUUCUUGUCUGAAGUUCUUCCUCAAGAGCAGACUCGUGAAUCUGUUGUCUGCGAUGGUACUGAUAAGAGUUGCCAGCUCCCGACCAAGGAGGGUACUGUCAGAAGUGGCAUGACCUGUUCAUCUAGAGGACCUUUUGUCUUUAGUCAUUUAGAUCUUUUCAGUGGUUCUGGAGAGUUGUGGCAAUGGAACCUAGAAAUGGAAGAGAGCAACGAGGUAGUGUCUUCUCAUACAAUUGGCAGUCCAAAAGCGGGAAAUGGUACUUUGGACAAGCAAUCAGACAAGUCUAUGAAGUUACCGUUGGUUGACAGUUAUAAGCCUGAGUAUGUAAAUAAUCAGUCAUUAAGAUUAGGUACUCUUGAAGAAGAGAGUGAAGAUGAGACAAAAAGUACUGAUUUGAGUUCUGAUGAAUCAGUUGGAAAUGGUACCAUUAACCACGUAAAGGAUAUGUUUGUAGUAGGAAAUCUAUCAGAAACUGACAAUGAUAGUUCAAAUAGUGAUUCAGAGUUGUCUGAGUCUGAGUUCGCCAAUCAACUUCAAUCUUUCCAGACUAUGCAGAGGGACUUGCUCUUGGCCCACUUACUUCGUCUUGCUUGUGCUCCUAAAGGAGCACUUGCUGAUGCUUUACCGGAAAUUACAUCAGAGCUCCUCAAUCUGGGGAUUGUUUCAGAAAACGUGCGAGAUAUGGCUAUCAAACCAUCAUCAUCUUAUGGCAAAAAUUUUGAUCGUGUGUUUGGGAAGCAUAUUAGUUCAUCAAAAAUAUCCGGCUUUUGGAAAACUGCUUCUGAUUUAGGAGGCCAAAGUUCUUCAGUUCAAAAUUCCCGUUAUUUAAAUGACUUUGAGGAGCUCCAACCUCUUGGACAUGGUGGGUUCGGUCACGUGGUGUUAUGCAAGAAUAAGCUAGAUGGUAGGCAUUAUGCCGUGAAGAAGAUCCGAUUAAAGGACAAAAUUCUGCCUGUAAAUGACCGCAUAUUAAGGGAAGUAGCUACUCUUUCUAGAUUGCAGCAUCAGCAUGUUGUACGAUACUAUCAGGCUUGGUAUGAAGCAGGUGAAAUUGGAAACCUUGGAGGCCCUGCAUGGGGUUCUACAACGGGCGUGAGUUCCAGUGUCAGCUUCAAGGAAACUGAUUCUUCAGAACAGUUUGCACAUGAAAAUAAGCUUGAGUCAACCUACCUCUAUAUUCAGAUGGAAUACUGCCCUAGGACUCUGCGGCAAAAGUUUGAAUCCUAUAAUCACUUUGAUAAGGAACUUGCUUGGCAUUUGUUUCGGCAAAUUGUGGAAGGCCUGGCACAUAUCCAUGGACAAGGAAUUAUCCAUCGCGACUUGACUCCUAAUAACAUAUUUUUUGAUGCUCGAAAUGACAUCAAAAUUGGAGACUUUGGCCUUGCCAAAUUUCUGAAGUUCGAGCAACUGGACCAAGAUGUGGAUGCAACUGAAACCGUUGGAGUAUCAAUUGAUGGUACAGGUCAAGUUGGCACAUAUUUCUACACUGCCCCUGAAAUAGAGCAAGGCUGGCCGAAGAUUGAUGAGAAGGCUGAUAUGUACAGUUUAGGAGUUAUGUUCUUUGAACUAUGGCAUCCUUUCGAGACAGCAAUGGAGAGACAUGUUUUGCUAUCUGAUCUGAAACUAAAAGGACAGCUUCCUUCUAUCUGGGUCACAGAAUUCCCAGAACAGGCAACCUUGCUUCGACGCUUGAUGUCUCCAAGUCCAUCGGAUCGGCCUUCAGCCACGGAACUUCUUAAGCAUGCCUUUCCACCUCACAUGGAGUAUGAAAUGUUAGAUAAUAUGUUGAGGACAAUUCAUACUUCAGAAGACACAAGUAUAUACGAAAAAGUUGUGUCUGCGAUUUUUGACGAGGAUAAGUUAAGGACAAAGGACAGGCAUGAGAAUGUUGAACGACUGAAAUCUAUUCGAGAUGAUAUCUCGACAACUUGUUUCACAGAUGUAGAUACUGCUAACCGUGAUCUGGUUGUUGAUACUGUUAGAGAAGUUUACAGGCAGCAUGGUGCAAAGCAUUUGGAGAUCUUUCCAAUGAGAAUAUUGGGAGAUGGCCAUCAAGUAAAUAGGAGUGCUGUCAAAAUGCUAUCCCAUGGAGGAGACAUGAUUGAGUUUUGCCAUGAGCUACGCUAUCCCUUUGUGAAUUGGGUCAUUGCAAAGCAGAAAUCAUUUUUCAGGAGGUACGAAAUAUCAUAUGUAUACCGAAGAGCAAUUGGCCAUUCACCUCCAAAUCGGUACUUGCAGGGAGAUUUUGAUAUUGUUGGAGGAGCAACUGCAUUGACAGAGGCAGAGAUCAUAAAGGCUUCCGUCGACAUUGUUUCUCAAUUUUUCAAUUCAGAAUCGUGUGACAUUCAUCUAAACCAUGCCGACAUAUUGGAGGCAAUAUGGUCUUGGACAGGAAUCAAACCUCAAAAUAGACAGAAAGUAGCUGAGCUUCUCUCACUUUUGGGUUCCUUGCGUCCUCAGUCUUCUGAAAGGAAGUCAAAAUGGGUAGUUAUCAGGCAGCAACUUCGACAGGAACUUGAUCUUUCUGAUGAUGCUUUAAACAGAUUACAAACUGUGGGAUUGAGGUUCUGUGGGACUGCUGAACAGGCACUACCAAGACUACGAGGUGCCCUGCCUGCAGAUAAGUCAACACGCAAGGCACUUGAUGAGGUUUCCGAACUUUUCAACUAUUUGAGGGUUUGGAAGAUUGAAAGGCAUGUCUUUGUUGAUGCACUAAUGCCACCAACUGAAUAUUAUCAUAGGAACUUGUAUUUCCAGAUAUAUCUCAGAAAGGAUAACAAUCCUGUUGCACUAACAGAAGGAACGCUGCUUGCUGUUGGUGGCCGUUAUGAUUACCUGCUUCAGCAGACGACUGAUUCUGAAUAUAAAUCAAGUCCACCCGGUGCAGUUGGAACUAGUAUUGCACUAGAAACUAUUUUGCUACACUCUUCUGUUGAUAAUAAAUCUCAUAGAAAUGAAAUAGGCAUUAAUGUUCUUGUCUGUUCGAGAGGUGGGGGUGGUUUAUUGUUCGAGCGCAUGGAACUGGUGGCCGAGUUGUGGGAGGAGAAUAUCAGGAGUUUGUCCCCUUGCGUGAUCCAAGCCUUACUGAACAGUACGAAUAUGCAAGCGACCAUGAUAUUAAAUGUCUUGUUGUCAUCACUGACUCUGGUGUAUCCCAAAAAGGCUCUGUUCAGGUUCGGCAUCUAGAGCUCAAGAGAGAGAAAGAAAUUGAGAGGGAAAACCUUGUAAAAUUUCUAUCAGAGGCAAUGGCUACUCAAUUUAGAAACCCGUCUAUCUGGAGCUAGGUCAGCUCGAAAUUGUACAGGUACACUUUCUUAAGGAGAUAGAUCAGGUGAACUAAACUCAGUUGCUGCAAAGUUUUGUACCUAAGAAUUUUAAGUUAAUUACUUUGUACAGUUAUACGAUUUUAAUUCAAUAUUUCACUUCACUUGGCUUUUAUCGUACUCUCUCCGAUCCUUCUAUCUUCAGACUACUUGUGCACGAGAUUAAAGGAACUAGUAUUGUUUGAGCAA